GGGUUGUGAGGUUAAGCGACUAAGCGUACACGGUGGAUGCCCUGGCAGUCAGAGGCGAUGAAGGACGUGCUAAUCUGCGAUAAGCGUCGGUAAGGUGAUAUGAACCGUUAUAACCGGCGAUUUCCGAAUGGGGAAACCCAGUGUGAUUCGUCACACUAUCAUUAACUGAAUCCAUAGGUUAAUGAGGCGAACCGGGGGAACUGAAACAUCUAAGUACCCCGAGGAAAAGAAAUCAACCGAGAUUCCCCCAGUAGCGGCGAGCGAACGGGGAGCAGCCCAGAGCCUGAAUCAGUGUGUGUGUUAGUGGAAGCGUCUGGAAAGGCGCGCGAUACAGGGUGACAGCCCCGUACACAAAAAUGCACAUACUGUGAGCUCGAUGAGUAGGGCGGGACACGUGGUAUCCUGUCUGAAUAUGGGGGGACCAUCCUCCAAGGCUAAAUACUCCUGACUGACCGAUAGUGAACCAGUACCGUGAGGGAAAGGCGAAAAGAACCCCGGCGAGGGGAGUGAAAAAGAACCUGAAACCGUGUACGUACAAGCAGUGGGAGCCUUGAUUUAUCAGGGUGACUGCGUACCUUUUGUAUAAUGGGUCAGCGACUUAUAUUCUGUAGCAAGGUUAACCGAAUAGGGGAGCCGAAGGGAAACCGAGUCUUAACUGGGCGUUAAGUUGCAGGGUAUAGACCCGAAACCCGGUGAUCUAGCCAUGGGCAGGUUGAAGGUUGGGUAACACUAACUGGAGGACCGAACCGACUAAUGUUGAAAAAUUAGCGGAUGACUUGUGGCUGGGGGUGAAAGGCCAAUCAAACCGGGAGAUAGCUGGUUCUCCCCGAAAGCUAUUUAGGUAGCGCCUCGUGAAUUCAUCUCCGGGGGUAGAGCACUGUUUCGGCAAGGGGGUCAUCCCGACUUACCAACCCGAUGCAAACUGCGAAUACCGGAGAAUGUUAUCACGGGAGACACACGGCGGGUGCUAACGUCCGUCGUGAAGAGGGAAACAACCCAGACCGCCAGCUAAGGUCCCAAAGUCAUGGUUAAGUGGGAAACGAUGUGGGAAGGCCCAGACAGCCAGGAUGUUGGCUUAGAAGCAGCCAUCAUUUAAAGAAAGCGUAAUAGCUCACUGGUCGAGUCGGCCUGCGCGGAAGAUGUAACGGGGCUAAACCAUGCACCGAAGCUGCGGCAGCGACACUAUGUGUUGUUGGGUAGGGGAGCGUUCUGUAAGCCUGUGAAGGUGUGCUGUGAGGCAUGCUGGAGGUAUCAGAAGUGCGAAUGCUGACAUAAGUAACGAUAAAGCGGGUGAAAAGCCCGCUCGCCGGAAGACCAAGGGUUCCUGUCCAACGUUAAUCGGGGCAGGGUGAGUCGACCCCUAAGGCGAGGCCGAAAGGCGUAGUCGAUGGGAAACAGGUUAAUAUUCCUGUACUUGGUGUUACUGCGAAGGGGGGACGGAGAAGGCUAUGUUGGCCGGGCGACGGUUGUCCCGGUUUAAGCGUGUAGGCUGGUUUUCCAGGCAAAUCCGGAAAAUCAAGGCUGAGGCGUGAUGACGAGGCACUACGGUGCUGAAGCAACAAAUGCCCUGCUUCCAGGAAAAGCCUCUAAGCAUCAGGUAACAUCAAAUCGUACCCCAAACCGACACAGGUGGUCAGGUAGAGAAUACCAAGGCGCUUGAGAGAACUCGGGUGAAGGAACUAGGCAAAAUGGUGCCGUAACUUCGGGAGAAGGCACGCUGAUAUGUAGGUGAAGCGACUUGCUCGUGGAGCUGAAAUCAGUCGAAGAUACCAGCUGGCUGCAACUGUUUAUUAAAAACACAGCACUGUGCAAACACGAAAGUGGACGUAUACGGUGUGACGCCUGCCCGGUGCCGGAAGGUUAAUUGAUGGGGUCAGCCGCAAGGCGAAGCUCUUGAUCGAAGCCCCGGUAAACGGCGGCCGUAACUAUAACGGUCCUAAGGUAGCGAAAUUCCUUGUCGGGUAAGUUCCGACCUGCACGAAUGGCGUAAUGAUGGCCAGGCUGUCUCCACCCGAGACUCAGUGAAAUUGAACUCGCUGUGAAGAUGCAGUGUACCCGCGGCAAGACGGAAAGACCCCGUGAACCUUUACUAUAGCUUGACACUGAACAUUGAGCCUUGAUGUGUAGGAUAGGUGGGAGGCUUUGAAGCGUGGACGCCAGUCUGCGUGGAGCCGACCUUGAAAUACCACCCUU
This 2193-nucleotide ribosomal RNA is filed under the name Escherichia coli. RNAcentral describes it as "partial 23S ribosomal RNA". It matches the Rfam family "Bacterial large subunit ribosomal RNA", at positions 1 to 2207 of the family's 2925-position model. Lineage: Bacteria; Pseudomonadati; Pseudomonadota; Gammaproteobacteria; Enterobacterales; Enterobacteriaceae. The record is from RNAcentral.